AGAAAGAUUCGUGCAUGCAUGUAUGAACGCAUGCUACAUAUGCAUGCUUGCAUGAUAUAUCUAUCUAUCUAUUCAUAUGUCUGUCACUAUAUAUACAAAACGUGUACUGAGAAAGUACUAAAUACAGAAGUAGACUCGAAAUAUUUUUAUUUAUACUUUUAAAGUUGGCAGUGAUUUCGAAGUUUCACCACUUCCGGUAGAACAUAGUUCUGUAUUAAAGUUUAGAAAAAUUAAUUUGUUGGGUAGAGAGGAAGAAGCUUGCGAUUGGAUAAUUGAUUGCGAGAGGUGAGAGGAGUGGUUGAAGGAAGAGAAUAUAUAAAAGGAAGAGUUAUGUUGUAAUUAUUGGUAAAUUGAGGAUUAUCUGAUCUGAUCUGGGGGAGUUCGUAAAAAUCGUAUCUUUAAAAAAGCAGAAACAAAAAAAAAAGGUAAGGAAAACAGAAUUGGAACCAGGCAAACCAAUUACAGAAAGGAGAGAAAACCUGAAGAAAUUGGAAGCUUAGAAGGCAUACAAUAAGAAAUUUCUUAAGGAAUCAUCAUUCGCAGGAAGUCAAAGAAGCCAGAUCAACAGAAGUAAUAACAAUAAUAAUAAUCAUAUAAUAAUCAACCACCUACAAACACUACAAUAUCACAUUUUUACCAAAAGAGGAGAGGAAGUAACGAAAAAAAAAAAAUCAAGCGCCACCCCCACAAAAACAGCUAAAAUUUCAUCAGUAGUGUGAAGAAUUCCUCUGUGAUUUUGGGAAGUUAUCAUUGGUUCGGGAAAUUGUCA
This is a long non-coding RNA of Octopus bimaculoides (California two-spot octopus), 769 nucleotides long. The record is from RefSeq and is a predicted model, not a curated record. Lineage: Eukaryota; Metazoa; Mollusca; Cephalopoda; Octopoda; Octopodidae.